UUAAUCCCAAUAACUCGCCCAAAGAAUAUUUGCUUUCUGUCCUGGCAGCUCUGCUGCUUUGGCAAUAACUUCCUAGAAUAUAAUGUCUCCACCAGGGGACUCCACAACGGUUCCAUUGAUUUGAAGCCAAUGGGCAGAGGAGGGGCUGCCUUACUGGUCGGACUGGUCAGCCCUGAUUACUAAGGAGAAAUCAGGCAACUUCAACAAAACUAAGGCAGGGGGGACUUUGUCUAGAACCCAAAGCACUAAGCAUCUUAGUACUUUUUAGUUCUCAGAGCCUCCAAGAACAAAGAUUUAGCCCCUCAGCACCACCAGGUAAAGAACAGGUAAAUCCAGCUGAGGACAAGAGAAAUAUUGAAUGGAUAGAGGAAGAAAGAAAUUAUAGAUAUCAACUAUGGCCUCAUGACUAGAGUCUCCAGAUUUAGCAAAUAAAAAUACAGAUGAUUAGAUCUGAACAUCAGGUAAACAACGAACAACAGUUUAAGUGCGACCUAGGCAAUAUUUGGGACAUACUUAUACUAAAAUUUUUUCGCUAUUUGAGCAUCCUGUAUUUUAUCUGGCAACUUUAUUCAUCCCUAGCGAAAAAGGAACUGUGGUAACUUAGUGUAUUUUUACUUUGCUCAUUAUUGUGUAUAUACCUACUUGUAUUUAUCAAUCAUAUUUACUCUGUUCUCAGUAUUACUUUAUAUAGCAGUUGGUGGUGAUGGUUAGCAACAUAUUCAGUGGAACUGUGACUGAAUUUGAGGAGAAAUUAACAGAGUUGGCUGUGGCUACAAUAACCCUUCGGGACAUGUGUCCCCUCAUUUUGGGGAGAUGGUUAGAUCUCUGGGUAAAUGUUAGGGCAUCUGAGCCAGAAACCAAGAUUUUGCCAGCUGGUGCAAUGUCAGAUUUUACCAGCAGAGGGUGCCAGAGGAAUGCGGCAAAACCCGAGUGCCAGAAAGCACCUCCCUGUUUUCCAGCUUUUCUUCCUUUUUAUUUAUUUUAUUUACGGCCCAGGAGUCCGUAAUAGCGCUGAGGAUGGCCCAGGCUCUUCUCAGCAGCCCUGACUGACUAGUUCAGCAAUGCGCUCAGGCCCCAUCUGGCCACCGGGCAGCCUCUUCUGUGGUAGCUCCAGCCUCAGCCAGUGCAAAAGGCUACCCUACACUGGCGCCACUUCUACAAUCAGCACUGGCCACACCCUCCACGCCAUCCGGCACGGAGCCAGGUGAUCUGCCGGCCAGAUUGCAGUUCGUGCUGCCUGAGUCCAGGUGAUUACACUGGCUGCAUCUUUUCUUUCUGGACCAUUCAUUCAUUUUUUUUUUAAGCUUUUAUUUUUAUUUAUUUAUUUUUGCUUUUUAGGGCCUCACCCGUGGCAUAUGGAUGUUCCCAGGCCAGGGGGUGGAAUCAGAGCUACAGCCGUGAGCCUACACCACAGGUCACAGCAGUGCCAGAUCUCUGACCCACUGAGUGAGGCCAAGGAAUCAAACCUGCAACUUCAUGAUUCCUAGUCGGAUUUGUUAACCACUGAGCCACGACGGGAACUCCCCCAAUUUUUUUCAACUACUACUAAGGCAGCCGUUAGCAAACAAUGCCAUUAAUAAUACCCAGAAGAGAGGAUGUCGGGUCUAAAGGAAAGCACUUUUUUUUCUGCGCCCUCUUGUGGCUACCGUGCUAAAUCACACCAGGUCCUGUCUUUCUAAGUCUUUUCAACACUGGAGAGCCUCGGGCUUUUCCUUUUCCGCCCAGAUGCUCCUACUACAGUCCUUCCUCACCGCUGUCAGUACUGCCAGACAAACUCCACGUCUAUGCCAGGCGCCAGGAAGGGUAGAGUCUCCUUCUUUGUCCUGAGCAGGGGAGAGGGGCUUUCUGGGCACCUAGCGCAGUGCUUCGUGCACAGUGUUCCUUCCCAGCUCUGCCGCUAUUUCAAUAAACUCUGGAGCCUCAGUUUCCCAGUCGGUGUCCCUGAAUGGUCCCCAAGCCCAGUGGUGUGUGACUAAAAGAUGAACAGCCAACGCGGAGUUGGAGCGUCAGGGGGAGACCCUUAUGUGUAGCGUAGCGUUUGCCAGUUUCCGUGACCUACUCCACCGCGCCGCUUCCAGGCUGAUGAGGUACAUCGCUGAACACAGAGCUGGGAGGAGACGCGUUCCAUCCACAGUUCCUGGGAGCGGGGCCACCCGCCCAGCACCAGCUCACGCCUGGCAGCCGCCCUCUUCCUAGUCCUGCUGGCUGGAGAGGCAGGAGCCCUGCCCUGGGCUUCUGUACAAGUAGAUGGUGGCCCCUAGUGGCAAAGCCAAGCCAAUCCCAGACCAGGUGCGGAAGGGCCUAGAACUCAAGAAAAGGAGCAGGAAUCCCUCCCCACCAACCCACCAGGCAGUUUCUCUCCUCUUACUCAGCGCUGAGGGCCUGUCAUCUCUAGGAAAGACUCCACACCUGGGGUACGCAAGGGGGACCCCUGAGAGUCUUCCUCUGUGUUGGGGCUGGAAUGGGGUGUCUGGCUUUCAAGCCUGGGUGGGGGACAAGGGGAAGAAGUGACCCCAUGGGCAGUAAAUUCCCACAUCCAGUGGGCAGGUCACUGUUGCAGACCGUCAGCACACCCCCUGAUGCAGAAUUACCAGAGGAGCACACCCACCCCAAGCAGCCCCCACAGCUUCCCUAGAACAAGUCCCUAGGCUGGCACUCCCAAAGCAUUUGCUCCUGAGGACUCUUUCUUGGGGCCCUGGACCCCAGAGCUUCUAUCUGGCCCAAGACGCCUCUCUAAUUUUCUGGGUCAUCCCCAGAUCUCAGCGCCCUGUGCCCCUGCCCCCAUGGUAAGCUAGGAUUGGGGGAAGGAGGGUAGUCCCUGUGAUGGUGAAACUGUGGAUAAUGCUGAGUCAAACCCACUCCACCUGCCUUCAUUAAUCAAGCUCAUUUUAAGACCUGCCUGUCCUUCAAGCUGCAUGUAGCCUAAUCAAUACAAACAUUUGCCCAGGUUAUUUUCCAGAAUCUUGGAAUCAGCUGGGUCUGGUUUGAGCGGCGCCUAAGACUGACUCUCCGUCUGGGCAUGUGCCGGCAUCUACCCUGUGAAAACUCCACCUCCAGGUCGGUGCUGUGGACCUGCAGAAGCCAGCAGGCAGGAUGAUCAUGGUCACCUGGCCACACAGCAGCACACAGAAAAUGCCGCUCAACUAUCCCGAGAGUGAGGUUGCGACAUUUCAACACUGGAGAGCGCCAGAGACCGCGAAAUCCAAUCCAGGCUCGAAGGGCUGCAGCACCAAAUGUGUCCACCAGGCGGCGCGAGAGCUGGAGGAGGGCCGGCACCUCUAGGUUCUCCCUGUGCUGUGAUGGGGCAGAGAGGGAUGCAAGCCCAAGAGGACGGUCUUAGGACCCAGCCAGGUUACCAGUGCUCUUUACCCCAAACGGUUGGGGAAACUAAAGCUUUAGUCUAUGAGCUAAUAUGUGACCAGAAAAAAAAUUUUUUUUUGUUUUUUUUGUCUUUUUGCUAUUUCUUGGGCUGAUCCCGCGGCAUAUGGAGGUUCCCAGGCUAGGGGUCCAAUAAGAGCUGUACCACAGCAACGCAGGAUUCGAGCCAUGUCUGCUGCCUACACCACAGCUCACGGCAACGCCGGAUCCUCAACCCACUGAGCAAGGCCAGAGGUCAAACUCACAAUCUCAUGGUUCCUAGUCGGAUUCUCUAACCACUGAGCCACGAUGGGAACUCCUCUACAACACUCUUAAAAGAAAACAUACAAAUAAUCUUCAUCAUCUUGGAUUAAGCAAUGAUAUUUUAGGACACCAAAAGUACAAAUAACAGAAGAAAAAAUACAUAAUCUGAACUUCAUCAAAACCAAAACCUAAUAAGCCGGUGAAGAAGAUGAAAUGAAAUCACACACACACAGGCACACACAUCAAUUAAUGCAAAAAAACAGGAAGAGAAUAUGGGACAAGCAGAAAACAAAUAGCAUGAUGGUAUAUUUAAACACCACCACAUCAAUACUCACAUUAAAUGUAAGUGGUCUAGAUAUGCCAAUUAAAGGUAGAGAUUAUCUGAUUAAAUGAAACGCAAGACUCAACUAUACACUUGCUACAAGAAAUCAAUUUUUUUAUGGCCACACCUACAGCAUAUGAAAGUUCCCAGGCCAGGGAUCCAACCCACACCUCCUCAGCAGCGACCUAAGCUUCUGCAGUCAGAUCCUUAACCCGCUGCACCAUAGCAGUAACUUUCAAGAAAUCUACUUUUUAUUUUAUUUUAUUUUAUUUUAUUUUAUUUUUAAAUUAAAUUAAAAAUUUUUUAGUGCCACACCUGUGGCGUAUGGAGGUUCCCAGGCUAGGGGUCCAAUCGGAGCUACAGCUGCCAGCCACAGCCACAGCAAAGCAGGAUUUGAGCGACAUCUCUGACCUACACCACAGCUCACGGCAACACCAGAUCUUUAACCCACUGAGCAAGGCCAGGGAUCGAACCUUCGACCUCAUGGAUACUUGUCGGGUUCAUUAACCACUGAGUCACAAUAGUAACUCCCCAGGAAAUCUACUUUAAAUAAAGAGGUACUAACAGGUUAAAAAUAAAAGGAUAGAAAAAGACAUACCACACUAACACUAAAUGAAAGCUGAACUGGCUAUAUUAACAUAAAAAUUGGAGUUCCCGUCGUGGUGCAGCGGAAACAAAUCCAACCAGGAACCAUGGGGCUGUGGGUUCAAUCCCUGGCCUUGCUCAGCGGGUUAAGGAUCCGGUGUUGCCAUGAGCUGUGGUGUAGGUCACAAAUGCGGCUCGGAUCUGGUGUUGCUGUGGCUGUGGUGUAGCCCGGCAGCUACAGCUCCAAUUGAACCCUUAGCCUGGGAACCUCCAUAUGCCAAGGGUGCAGCCCUAAAAGGACAAAAGACAAAAAAAAAAAAACCAUAAAAAU
This 4859-nucleotide long non-coding RNA is filed under the name Sus scrofa (pig). RNAcentral's name for it is "lncRNA (ENSSSCG00055011712.1)". Lineage: Eukaryota; Metazoa; Chordata; Mammalia; Artiodactyla; Suidae. The record is from RNAcentral.